This 872-nucleotide ribosomal RNA is filed under the name uncultured archaeon. Its description in RNAcentral is "bacterial SSU rRNA". It matches the Rfam family "Archaeal small subunit ribosomal RNA", at positions 1 to 874 of the family's 1478-position model. The record is from RNAcentral.
UUCCGGUUGAUCCUGCCGGAGGUCACUGCUAUCAGUGUUCGACUAAGCCAUGCAAGUCAAAUGUUCUUCGUGAACAUGGCGGACUGCUCAGUAACACGUGGAUAACCUGCCCUUAGGAUUGGCAUAACACCGGGAAACUGGUGAUAAUACCGAAUAGACCAUUUAUGCUGGAAUGCUUUUUGGUUCAAAGGCUUCGGCUGCCUAAGGAUGGAUCUGCGGCCUAUCAGGUAGUAGUGGGUGUAAUGUACCUACUAGCCUACGACGGGUACGGGUUGUGAGAGCAAGAGCCCGGAGAUGGAUUCUGAGACAUGAAUCCAGGCCCUACGGGGCGCAGCAGGCGCGAAAACUUUACAAUGCGGGAAACCGCGAUAAGGGGACACUGAGUGCCAGCAUAUUAUGUUGGCUGUCCACAUGUAUAAAAACCAUGUGUUAGCGAGGGCCGGGCAAGACCGGUGCCAGCCGCCGCGGUAACACCGGCGGCCCGAGUGGUGAUCACUUUUAUUGGGUCUAAAGGGUCCGUAGCCGGUUUGAUCAGUCUUCUGGGAAAUCUGACAGCUCAACUGUUAGGCUUUCAGGGGAUACUGUUAGACUUGGGACCGGGAGAGGUAAGAGGUACUACAGGGGUAGGAGUGAAAUCUUGUAAUCCCUGUGGGACCACCAGUGGCGAAGGCGUCUUACCAGAACGGGUCCGACGGUGAGGGACGAAAGCUGGGGGCACGAACCGGGUUAGAUACCCGGGUAGUCCCAGCCGUAAACGAUGUUCGCUAGGUGUCAGGGGCGGUGCGACCGUUUCUGGUGCCGUAGGGAAGCCGUGAAGCGAACCACCUGGGAAGUACGGCCGCAAGGCUGAAACUUAAAGGAAUUGGCGGGGG